Molecule: ribosomal RNA, 383 nt
Filed under: uncultured bacterium
Lineage: Bacteria
Description: bacterial SSU rRNA
Rfam family: Bacterial small subunit ribosomal RNA
Source: RNAcentral
GACGAACGCUGGCGGCGUGCUUAACACAUGCAAGUCGAGCGGUAAGGCCCUUUCGGGGGUACACGAGCGGCGAACGGGUGAGUAACACGUGGGUGACCUGCCCUCAGCUCUGGGAUAAGCCUGGGAAACCGGGCCUAAUACCGGAUAUGACUCCAUGACGCAUGUUGUGGGGUGGAAAGCCUUGUGCGGCUGAGGAUGGGCCCGCGGCCUAUCAGCUUGUUGGUGGGGUGANGGCCUACCAAGGCGACGACGGGUAGCCGGCCUGAGAGGGCGACCGGCCACACUGGGACUGAGACACGGCCCAGACUCCUACGGGAGGCAGCAGUGGGGAAUCUUGCGCAAUGGGCGAAAGCCUGACGCAGCGACGCCGCGUGAGGGAUGAC